GUCGGGAAGAGGAUGAAUUGAGUGUCCAAGAACCGUGGGCAUGGGAACAUGGAGGAAAGGAUCCGUUUGGUGUUUUCCCGAUGCCUCCCAUGCCUAUUGUUCUUAGUUGCUCCUUCCCCUUACUUUUGGCU
This 131-nucleotide microRNA precursor is filed under the name Dichanthelium oligosanthes. RNAcentral describes it as "MIR2118 microRNA precursor family". It matches the Rfam family "MIR2118 microRNA precursor family". Lineage: Eukaryota; Viridiplantae; Streptophyta; Magnoliopsida; Poales; Poaceae. The record is from Rfam by way of RNAcentral.